Rhincodon typus (whale shark) is the source of this 132-nucleotide small nucleolar RNA. NCBI's taxonomy places the organism in Eukaryota, Metazoa, Chordata, Chondrichthyes, Orectolobiformes, Rhincodontidae. The record is from RefSeq and is a predicted model, not a curated record.
UUGCACUGUUCGUAACCUGUUACUUGCUUUUAAUCUUGCAUCAGGUUCCAUUCCAGUGCUACAUUAAUCCCAGCAAAUAUUAUCAGUUAACUGCUCAUUGUACUGUUGACUUCUUCAGAGUUGGGAAUAUAC